AAAAGUUGACAUUUUAAAGUUUUUAGCCACUGUUCCCCUCAGCAUCCUUCUCCAGUGAACUCUCUAGAGUCGGCGCCUCGAGGCCUUCAAUUCUAAAGUGGCAUUAGACAUUCUUUAAGUUUCAUUGAUCCCCUUAAAAUAAGCCACUCUAUCUUCUAACCUCCAGAGAUUAAUCCAGUGGUGACAAAGCUGGCCACAUCGGGAGACUUUUUUACUCUGUUUCCAUUCUUUGAGCUCCAGGAAAUGCCACAUUUUCCAGAGUCACGACAUUCAGACGCUCGGGAAAGAGGAUUAAUGGGAGCGUUUAGAAAGUGACUCCUAAGAGAAACUCUCUCCCACUAUAAUAUAAUCGGUCCUCGCUCUGUAUGCGAUCAUUUCCAUGAUAGCGUUUCAUUUGCACAAACCACUCGAGUCCUUUGAUGGAGUCCUGGCAUGUGGGUUGUUUAAUUGGGCUGAAGGAGCUCGGCAGGAGUUUCCUGCCUGAAAAGGCUGGAUGCAUAGGAUUACAUGCAGGAAAUCUGUCUGGGAUUGUGCUGAUUGGACGGGGGAUGCCUUUGUAGCAAUUGCAGCCUUCAAGACGAGAAAUGUCCCCUUCUGGCUCCAGAUGGACACGUAUCCCUCACACAUGGAAAGCUCUGUAAUCUCAACUUCUUCACAGUUUGAAGCCCUGUAUAAACUUCACGUCUGUCAGCAUAUUUGACUGAGAAUCCUGUGCAAACCACUUUCUCAAAGACUGUAAAUCCUCCACACUGAGAUUUCCCAAGAACAUCCGUAAUUUUUUCAGCUAUAGGAACGGCAGAGGCAAAGCAGGUAAACAUUUUUAACACCUUCAUAAUGUUUUUUUUUUUUUUUUUACAUUUUAUAUAUCAAAAUAAGCAUGUACUCAGAGAUGCGCACACAUGCAUAUACCCAAAUCUAUCUAUCUAUCUAUCUAUCUAUCUAUCUAUCUAUCUAUCUAUCUAUAUAUAUAUAUAUCUAUCUAUCUAUCUAUGCAUGCGUUUACUAAUCUAAGCUAGCUAUUUCUCUAUGCAUGUAUUUAUGCAUGCUUUAAUUAUCUCUCUCUAUAUAUGAAUGCACUAUCUAUCUAUCUAUCUAUCUAUCUAUCUAUCUAUCUAUGCGUUUAAUAAUCUAAAAUAGCUAUUUAUCUAUGCAUGCAUU
Long non-coding RNA from Cyprinus carpio (common carp), 1158 nucleotides. Lineage: Eukaryota; Metazoa; Chordata; Actinopteri; Cypriniformes; Cyprinidae. The record is from Ensembl.